Molecule: ribosomal RNA, 253 nt
Filed under: uncultured bacterium
Lineage: Bacteria
Description: partial 16S ribosomal RNA
Rfam family: Bacterial small subunit ribosomal RNA
Source: RNAcentral
UACGUAGGGGCCUAGCGUUGUCCGGAUUUAUUGGGCGUAAAGAGCUCGUAGGCGGUUUGUCGCGUCUGCCGUGAAAGUCCGGGGCUCAACUCCGGAUCUGCGGUGGGUACGGGCAGACUAGAGUGAUGUAGGGGAGACUGGAAUUCCUGGUGUAGCGGUGAAAUGCGCAGAUAUCAGGAGGAACACCGAUGGCGAAGGCAGGUCUCUGGGCAUUAACUGACGCUGAGGAGCGAAAGCAUGGGGAGCGAACAGG